AUCUUCGGGGUAGGGUGUAAGUCCCAACCGGCGGUAUAGUCCGCGAACCUUUGUAUAUGAUACAGAGGCCGAUCUGGUGAGAUUCCGGAACCGACAGUAUAGUCUGGAUGAGAGAAGAG
Molecule: non-coding RNA, 119 nt
Filed under: uncultured Dorea sp.
Lineage: Bacteria; Bacillati; Bacillota; Clostridia; Lachnospirales; Lachnospiraceae
Description: FMN riboswitch (RFN element)
Rfam family: FMN riboswitch aptamer (RFN element)
About the family: The RFN element is a highly conserved domain that is found frequently in the 5'-untranslated regions of prokaryotic mRNAs that encode for flavin mononucleotide (FMN) biosynthesis and transport proteins.
Source: RNAcentral